GAUGAACGCUGGCUACAGGCUUAACACAUGCAAGUCGAGGGGAAACGACGGGGAAGCUUGCUUCCCCGGGCGUCGACCGGCGCACGGGUGAGUAACGCGUAUCCAACCUGCCUCUGACUGAGGGAUAACCCGUCGAAAGUCAGCCUAAUACCUCAUGGCAUCGUCUGCGGGCAUCCAACGACGAUUAAAGAUUUCAUCGGUCAGAGAUGGGGAUGCGUCUGAUUAGCUUGUUGGCGGGGUAACGGCCCACCAAGGCGACGAUCAGUAGGGGUUCUGAGAGGAAGGUCCCCCACAUUGGAACUGAGACACGGUCCAAACUCCUACGGGAGGCAGCAGUGAGGAAUAUUGGUCAAUGGGCGAGAGCCUGAACCAGCCAAGUAGCGUGCAGGAUGACGGCCCUAUGGGUUGUAAACUGCUUUUAUGCGGGGAUAAAGUGAGGGACGUGUCCUUCAUUGCAGGUACCGCAUGAAUAAGGACCGGCUAAUUCCGUG
This 491-nucleotide ribosomal RNA is filed under the name uncultured bacterium. RNAcentral describes it as "partial 16S ribosomal RNA". It matches the Rfam family "Bacterial small subunit ribosomal RNA", at positions 28 to 507 of the family's 1533-position model. The record is from RNAcentral.